UUUAAGUGUAAGCAUAAUUUUUUUAUCCAAUUUUGAUCAUUCAUUUUAUUUAAAAUUUUUUAUAAUUAGUAUUUUUUAUUAUGAGAUGAUAAAAUAUGAAUAGUAUUUUACUCGUGACUUAAAUUUUUAAAUUUUUUCAAAUAAAACGGACGGUCAAAAUUCAGCGUGGAAAACUAUGGCUGCACUUAAA
Oryza glumipatula is the source of this 190-nucleotide non-coding RNA. Lineage: Eukaryota; Viridiplantae; Streptophyta; Magnoliopsida; Poales; Poaceae. The record is from Rfam.